CCUACGGGAGGCAGCAGUGGGGAAUAUUGGGCAAUGGGCGCAAGCCUGACCCAGCAACGCCGCGUGAAGGAAGAAGGCUUUCGGGUUGUAAACUUCUUUUAAGAGGGAAGAAUAGAAGACGGUACCUCUUGAAUAAGCCACGGCUAACUACGUGCCAGCAGCCGCGGUAAUACGUAGGUGGCAAGCGUUGUCCGGAUUUACUGGGUGUAAAGGGCGUGUAGGCGGGCCUGCAAGUCAGAAGUGAAAUCUGGGGGCUUAACCCCCAAACUGCUUUUGAAACUGUGGGUCUUGAGUGAUGGAGAGGG
RNAcentral lists this ribosomal RNA (305 nucleotides) under uncultured bacterium. RNAcentral describes it as "bacterial SSU rRNA". It matches the Rfam family "Bacterial small subunit ribosomal RNA", at positions 338 to 658 of the family's 1533-position model. The record is from RNAcentral.